GCGCUUAGUGGGAGGUAACCCACU
Molecule: small nuclear RNA, 24 nt
Filed under: Arabidopsis thaliana (thale cress)
Lineage: Eukaryota; Viridiplantae; Streptophyta; Magnoliopsida; Brassicales; Brassicaceae
Description: snRNA_04295
Source: RNAcentral